Molecule: long non-coding RNA, 213 nt
Filed under: Elaeis guineensis (African oil palm)
Lineage: Eukaryota; Viridiplantae; Streptophyta; Magnoliopsida; Arecales; Arecaceae
Description: long non-coding RNA (EGUI_LNC042327)
Source: RNAcentral
AUGAAGAAUUAGAUUUUUAAAGUAUGUUUAAAUUCUUACUCAGGUGAGCUCUAAAGAAAAGAUGAAGAGAUUACUUGUAACUACUACUAAAGCAAUGAGAAAAAUAAUUGUAGAUUAUAUCAACUAAAAGAUCUAGGACUUUUGAAUCCACUAGACUAAUGAAAUAGAUAGUCUUUCUAUGAUUUUUUUAUGAUGUCUCUUAAUUAAGGUGUA